RNAcentral lists this ribosomal RNA (750 nucleotides) under Salmonella enterica. RNAcentral's name for it is "bacterial SSU rRNA". It matches the Rfam family "Bacterial small subunit ribosomal RNA", at positions 35 to 775 of the family's 1533-position model. The record is from RNAcentral. Lineage: Bacteria; Pseudomonadati; Pseudomonadota; Gammaproteobacteria; Enterobacterales; Enterobacteriaceae.
GCUGGCGGCAGGCCUAACACAUGCAAGUCGAACGGUAACAGGAAGCAGCUUGCUGCUUCGCUGACGAGUGGCGGACGGGUGAGUAAUGUCUGGGAAACUGCCUGAUGGAGGGGGAUAACUACUGGAAACGGUGGCUAAUACCGCAUAACGUCGCAAGACCAAAGAGGGGGACCUUCGGGCCUCUUGCCAUCAGAUGUGCCCAGAUGGGAUUAGCUAGUUGGUGAGGUAACGGCUCACCAAGGCGACGAUCCCUAGCUGGUCUGAGAGGAUGACCAGCCACACUGGAACUGAGACACGGUCCAGACUCCUACGGGAGGCAGCAGUGGGGAAUAUUGCACAAUGGGCGCAAGCCUGAUGCAGCCAUGCCGCGUGUAUGAAGAAGGCCUUCGGGUUGUAAAGUACUUUCAGCGGGGAGGAAGGUGUUGUGGUUAAUAACCGCAGCAAUUGACGUUACCCGCAGAAGAAGCACCGGCUAACUCCGUGCCAGCAGCCGCGGUAAUACGGAGGGUGCAAGCGUUAAUCGGAAUUACUGGGCGUAAAGCGCACGCAGGCGGUCUGUCAAGUCGGAUGUGAAAUCCCCGGGCUCAACCUGGGAACUGCAUUCGAAACUGGCAGGCUUGAGUCUUGUAGAGGGGGGUAGAAUUCCAGGUGUAGCGGUGAAAUGCGUAGAGAUCUGGAGGAAUACCGGUGGCGAAGGCGGCCCCCUGGACAAAGACUGACGCUCAGGUGCGAAAGCGUGGGAGCAAACAG